Molecule: transfer RNA, 73 nt
Filed under: Bacteroidales bacterium
Lineage: Bacteria; Pseudomonadati; Bacteroidota; Bacteroidia; Bacteroidales
Also listed under: 1 other name
Description: tRNA-Thr
Rfam family: tRNA
About the family: Transfer RNA (tRNA) molecules are approximately 80 nucleotides in length. Their secondary structure includes four short double-helical elements and three loops (D, anti-codon, and T loops).
Source: RNAcentral
GCCGAUGUAGCUCAUUUGGUAGAGCGCGUCCUUGGUAAGGACGAGGUGACGGGUUCAAAUCCCGUCAUUGGCU